GACGAACGCUGGCGGCGUGCUUAACACAUGCAAGUCGAACGGAAAGGCCCUGCUUUUGUGGGGUGCUCGAGUGGCGAACGGGUGAGUAACACGUGAGUAACCUGCCCUUGACUUUGGGAUAACUUCAGGAAACUGGGGCUAAUACCGGGUAGGAGCCCCUGCUGCAUGGUGGGGGUUGGAAAGUUUCGGCGGUUGGGGAUGGACUCGCGGCUUAUCAGCUUGUUGGUGGGGUAGUGGCUUACCAAGGCUUUGACGGGUAGCCGGCCUGAGAGGGUGACCGGCCACAUUGGGACUGAGAUACGGCCCAGACUCCUACGGGAGGCAGCAGUGGGGAAUAUUGCACAAUGGGCGGAAGCCUGAUGCAGCAACGCCGCGUGCGGGAUGACGGCCCUCGGGUUGUAAACCGCUUUCGCCUGUGACGAAGCGUGAGUGACGGUAAUGGGUAAAGAAGCACCGGCUAACUACGUG
Molecule: ribosomal RNA, 468 nt
Filed under: uncultured bacterium
Lineage: Bacteria
Description: partial 16S ribosomal RNA
Rfam family: Bacterial small subunit ribosomal RNA
Source: RNAcentral